CCUGAGCUGUGACAGGAAAAUGAGGGUUUACAUGAUGGAUAUCUUCAAAUUUUUUUUGCCUAUAUUCAAAAGGUAUGUCUGUAACUUCUUCACGCAUAACCAAUAAGAUUCUUUAAACAGCAAUACCAGACAGAAAAACGAACAUUUUCAGCAUACUUAACCGGUGUCAUGCUGAAGGACAUUGCAUUGGGGUAAAGAUGGGGAUAUUGUCCAGUUAAAAAAAGGAAUAUCCGUUUAUGACAGUUACUUGCUGCCAUCUGGCGUUUGAGAACAAACACUGCAAAGGCCGCGCGUUUAAACGCUACGGCACCCAAAGCUGUUUGCAUUGACUUAUAUGCGCCCUCUAGUGUCGAAAUAAACGAAUUACAGACACCGGGUACCGCAGUGGCGCCGUUUCCCGGCUUGACAGCAACCGGCAGCAUAGACGAGUCCUGUUUAUCGCAGCGAAAGCCGGCAGCGCGGUCCUGUUUGAUUUUCAGUCUUUAACCUGGGGCGCCUACGACUUCCGGGAUUUCACUGCGCUUCCACGAAGCCGAAAGCUUCAAAUGUCCUCGAUUAGGCCCAUGUAUGCUUAAAAAGGCAAACGACGAAACAAAAUGGAGUUGCAGCCAUUUCAUCAGCAAGCGGUGGCGUCGUUCUCCACCAUAGAGCCGCGCACGGUAACAAAGGCAGGCGGUCCGGCGCUCCUCCAUGCCGGGCAGCGGAGACGCGGCGUGCGCGCCGCCAAAUGGCGGAGCAAGGUGGGGACAAGGACGGCGAGAGCCGAGCUUGCGCGCCGCCGCCGUGGGGCCGAACACAAAAGCCGGCCUGGAUCCGCCAGCCGGAUCGGGAUCGCAGCUCGCCUUUCUGGGUCUUAAACUGUCUGUAAUGCAGUUCCCGAAUAGUUUUCUUGGUAGUCCAUUUUUUCCUUAGGUAAUGCAAUGUUUAAAACCCCAACAUAGAUCUGUAGCAGUACGAAAAACUGUAACACAGCAGUUACAUAAUUAAAAUAGUUAGAAGGAAACACAGCAUGUAAACACGGAUAUGUAGGGUAUGCAACGUUAAGAUUCUCUGUACAACAAUAAGAUCAGAAAAGCAAAAGACGAAGAAUUACUUUGGAAAUUACCUGAAAAAUCAGAAAUAUACAUAUACGAAUUUAGUAUAACCAAAAGGGGCAAUAAUGUUUUACACAUAAAAAAAAAUAUUUCAGAACACUGUAAUCAAAAAAUAGAAAGGUGUCCAUAUGCUAAAUUCACUACGUAAUGAAAAAGGUGUCCUUUUAGCUAUUCAGAUUGAUAUUAACACCAAGAGUGACAUGCUUUUCCCUGAGCUUUUGUCACUCGGUUAAACAGUAUUUAUAGCUAUAUCUUCCUAUUCCAGUGGAGGGCGACAGCAAGGAAGGAGACACAGCCGAAAGCGUCCAAGCAUAAACUGAGCCCUGCCUUCGGGCGGACAGACGCAGCGGUGGGAGGAUGAGGAAUUUGAGCGCUCAUCGCACGCAUGUCCAUACAAGUCCUGUUCUCUGGUCAGCAAAGGACUAUAGGAUCUCUUACCGUCCCGAAAGUGAACUGUCUCUAACUGGAGGAAAAUGCUCUCCUUUCACUCAGCUGUACAGCACUAAGGUGUAAGAACUCACUGAGUUCGUAUUAAUUUGCCACCUGGAGCCCUGGAUAAUCACAGGACAUGUCACCGGCUAAGGAGUCCAUAACAUCACUGGAUUAAUAAAGGAGAUGUCAGUUUAAA
Non-coding RNA from Paramormyrops kingsleyae, 1722 nucleotides. Lineage: Eukaryota; Metazoa; Chordata; Actinopteri; Osteoglossiformes; Mormyridae. The record is from RefSeq and is a predicted model, not a curated record.